GGACUGAGACACGGCCCAGACUCCUACGGGAGGCAGCAGUCGGGAAUUUUGCUCAAUGGGCGAAAGCCUGAAGCAGCAACGCCGCGUGAGGGAUGAAGGCCUUCGGGUUGUAAACCUCUUUUCCCAGGGACGAUAAUGACGGUACCUGGGGAAUAAGCCACGGCUAACUACGUGCCAGCAGCCGCGGUAAUACGUAGGUGGCAAGCGUUGUCCGGAUUUACUGGGCGUAAAGAGCGCGCAGGCGGCCGAGUCAGUCGAAUGUGAAAGCCCCCGGCUCAACUGGGGAGGGUCAUUCGAUACUGCUCGGCUUGAAGAUGGGAGAGGGAAGCGGAAUUUCAGGUGUAGUGGUGAAAUGCGUAGAUAUCUGAAGGAACACCAGUGGCGAAGGCGGCCUUCUGGCCCAUUCUUGACGCUGAGGCGCGAAAGCUAGGGGAGCAAACGGGAUUAGAUACCCCGGUAGUCCUAGCCGUAAACGAUGAACACUAGAUGUUGGUGGUAUCAACCCCGCCAGUGUCGUAGCUAACGCAUUAAGUGUUCCGCCUGGGGAGUACGGCCGCAAGGCUAAAACUCAAAGGAAUUGACGGGGGCCCGCACAAGCAGCGGAGCGUGGGGUUUAAUUCGAUGCAACGCGAAGAACCUUACCAGGGCUUGACAUGACCAGGAAUCCGGCGGAAACGUCGGCGCCCCGCAAGGGGCCUGGCCACAGGUGUUGCAUGGCUGUCGUCAGCUCGUGUCGUGAGAUGUUGGGUAAGUCCCGCAACGAGCGCAACCCCUACUGUGUGUUGUAUCACUCACACGGGACUGCCGAGAGAAACUCGGAGGAAGGUGGGGAUGACGUCAAGUCAGCAUGGCCCUUACGUCCUGGGCUACACCCACGCUACAAUGGCCGGUACAACGGGCUGCGAAACCGCGAGGUGGAGCUAAUCCCUUAAAGCCGGUCUCAGUUCGGAUCGUAGGCCGCAACUCGCCUGCGUGAAGCCGGAGUUGCUAGUAACCGCGGGUCAGCAUACCGCGGUGAAUAUGUUCCCGGGCCUUGUACACACCGCCCGUCACGUCAUGGAAGCCGACAACACCCGAAGCCAGUGAGCCAACCGCAAGGGGGCAGCUGUCGAAGGUGGGGUUGGUGACUGGGACGAAGUCGUAACAAGGUAGCCGUACCGGAAGGUACGGCUG
RNAcentral lists this ribosomal RNA (1173 nucleotides) under metagenome. RNAcentral's name for it is "bacterial SSU rRNA". It matches the Rfam family "Bacterial small subunit ribosomal RNA", at positions 316 to 1520 of the family's 1533-position model. The record is from RNAcentral.